UACCCGCGGCCCGAGUGGUGCUCAUUAUUAUUGAGCCUAAAGCGUCCGUAGCUGGCCGGACAAAUCCCUGGGUAAAUCGGGCGGCUCAACCGUCCGAAUUCCAGGGACACUGUUCGGCUUGGGAUCGGGAGAGGGUGAUAGUACUCCUUGGGUAGGGGUAAAAUCCUGUAAUCCGAGGGGGACUACCAGUGGCGAAGGCGAUCACCUAGAACGAAUCCGACAGUGAGGGACGAAGCCCUAGGGCGCAAACGGG
This 253-nucleotide ribosomal RNA is filed under the name uncultured organism. RNAcentral describes it as "partial 16S ribosomal RNA". It matches the Rfam family "Archaeal small subunit ribosomal RNA", at positions 474 to 727 of the family's 1478-position model. The record is from RNAcentral.